RNAcentral lists this ribosomal RNA (468 nucleotides) under uncultured bacterium. RNAcentral describes it as "partial 16S ribosomal RNA". It matches the Rfam family "Bacterial small subunit ribosomal RNA", at positions 28 to 507 of the family's 1533-position model. The record is from RNAcentral.
GACGAACGCUGGCGGCGUGCUUAACACAUGCGAGUCGAACGGAAAGGCCCUGCUUUUGUGGGGUGCUCGAGUGGCGAACGGGUGAGUAACACGUGAGUAACCUGCCCUUGACUUUGGGAUAACUUCAGGAAACUGGGGCUAAUACCGGAUAGGAGCUCCUGCUGCAUGGUGGGGGUUGGAAAGUUUCGGCGGCUGGGGAUGGACUCGCGGCUUAUCAGCUUGUUGGUGGGGUAGUGGCUUACCAAGGCUUUGACGGGUAGCCGGCCUGAGAGGGUGACCGGCCACAUUGGGACUGAGAUACGGCCCAGACUCCUACGGGAGGCAGCAGUGGGGAAUAUUGCACAAUGGGCGGAAGCCUGAUGCAGCAACGCCGCGUGCGGGAUGACGGCCUUCGGGUUGUAAACCGCUUUCGCCUGUGACGAAGCGUGAGUGACGGUAAUGGGUAAAGAAGCACCGGCUAACUACGUG